AUGAAGACGAUUCUUUCUUCCGAAACGAUGGACAUCCCCGACAGUGUUACCAUCAAGGUUCACGCUAAAGUGAUCGAAGUCGAAGGACCUCGCGGGAAGCUUGUUCGCGAUUUCAAGCAUCUCAACCUCGAUUUCCAGCUGAUCAAGGAUCCAGAGACUGGAAAGAAGAAGCUUAAGAUCGAUUCGUGGUUUGGAACACGCAAAACCAGCGCCUCCAUCAGAACCGCUCUUAGCCACGUCGAUAACUUGAUCUCCGGUGUUACCAGAGGUUUCCGUUACAAGAUGAGGUUCGUGUACGCCCAUUUUCCCAUCAACGCCUCCAUCGGCGGUGACGGAAAGUCUAUCGAGAUCCGUAACUUCCUUGGCGAGAAGAAGGUUUGUUUUAUCUUCUUCAUCUCUGAUUUGAUUCUCAUAGAUUCGUGUAGAUCUCGGAAUGAAAUAGACUGACACUAGAUUCAACUUUAUGAUUGGACGAUGAUGAUUGAUUUCUGAGUUUGCGAGCACUGAACUUACAUAGAAAUGUGUUUAUUGGAAUAAUAGGUGAGGAAGGUAGAGAUGUUGGAUGGUGUAACCAUUGUUCGAUCUGAGAAGGUGAAGGAUGAGAUUGUUCUUGACGGUAACGAUAUCGAGCUUGUUUCAAGGUCGUGCGCUCUGAUCAACCAGGUACUCCAUUCUUUAACUAGUAGAUAUCACAAUUUUGUUUUAAUGAUCUGAAGAUAUCACAAUUCUCUCAUAGUCUACUAUAUCCACAACAACUUGAAAUUAAUCUUGGGUCGAAAAGAUAGAGCCGUUGUGUAGUAUAGGAGACGUAGAUUUCUUUUGUUUUGGUUGAUGUUUGAGUUUGGGAUCACAUUUUGCAUAGUGAAAUCGAACUGAUUCAUCUAUAACUGAUUUAAUGCGCUCUGGUCAACCAAUAUUUUAUUGGUUAAAAUGUGUUUCUCAUAGUCUUGUACAAUAUCAACUAGGAAUAUUCUGAGCUAACUUGGCCGAGUUUGCAUAUUGUUGUAUGAAGGAAAGCAUAAGCGAUUGUGUUUAAAAAUGAUUCUUUGUUGACAAUUUAACUUUGUUGUCAUAUAUUUCAUAGUUGAACUGACUUGAUUCUUUAUGUUUUACUGUCUUAUGUAACUGCUAUGGUUUGCAUUAUUGUGCAGAAAUGUCACGUGAAGAAGAAGGAUAUCAGGAAGUUCCUUGACGGUAUCUAUGUUAGCGAGAAAAGCAAGAUCGUAGAGGAAGAAUGAAUACUCAUAUUCCCCUCUUAGCUCAUAUUUCUUGUGUUUGGAAUGUUGUUAGUUUUGUUUUAUGGACCAAAUCCACCGGUGAUGUAAACCUUGCCUUUUUUUUGUUCGAGAAUUUAUUAACUUAUGCAACAAGUUUUGGAGACAAUUAGAGACCCAUUCACUCUCACACUUUUGCCAAAUUACAUCUUCUCGGAUGAAUUUUGAAUUCUGAAGAAUUUGGUUGUGUUUUUGAAUUCCAGAACAUUAUAAUCCAUUGUCCUGAAUGAAAACGCCCACAAAUUUAGAGGGUGUUAUCGGUUCCUAAUUUACAAGAAAUUUUGAUGACUUUAGUUAAAUCUUUGAAAGUAAAGAAAUGAAAGAUUAUAAACGAUUGUUAGAGAGUUUUUUGAUAAUCUUGUUGAUUAGUUUUUUAUAAUUUUGUAAAGUUUUCCAAACAAUCUCUCUAUUUUAAUAAUAUUUUCCAUGACUUUCCAUGACUUCAUUUUGUAAAGAAAAGUGUAGGAAAUCAUGAACCAAUAACACAAUAAUUUAAAUCAUUAACAAUCAUUAAAAAUCAAAGAUUCUUUUGUUUUAAUUGAAUAACACAAAACUUUUAAUGAUUUAAUAAAAGUUCGUAUCUAAUAACCCAAAAUUUAUGAAGAUUUUAGAUUACUUUUUACAAAUCUUAAACGAAUAACACAAAACUUUAACAUACUUUAAAAAAGUCUUGAUUGAAUAACAACAGAUUUUACAUGACAAUUUAAAUCAUUAAAACUCUUUUGAAAUCAUAAACGAAUAACACCCUAUUAAUAUUUAGUCAAAUUAAUACUCAUACUUUUUCUAACUUAAAUUUAAUACUCAAAUACUUUUUCAAAUACUCAAAUUUAAUAUUUAACAAAACUUUUUCAUUUGUUACUCAAAUAAACUUUUAUAAUUCUAGCUGGGAAAAUUUCCAAAAAUAAACUUCAACUAUUUAAUAUUUGCCAGAAUUCUUUUUUUUUCUUUUCUCGUUGCCUAAAAUAAUCUAAUCUAGUUUACGGCCCAUAAAACAAAGGGUUAUUGAGUUUAUAGUCAUAAACUAAUUGCAUUCUCAGAUUUUCCUCAAUGGAUUAUAAAAUCAGCCAUAAACCCUAUAAAAUCAGUCAAUUUUUUUUUUCAUCCUAAAACAAACACAAACUAUUCUUUAUUUUCUAAUUUCUCUUCGUCUUCGUUAUGGCCGUUAACGACAUCGUUGACGUCGUUACUAUUUUUGAGAAAAUUUCUAACCCAAAUUAUGAAAUUUUGCUUGAAAAAAAUACCUGAAUUUCUAUUUCCUUGCCAUAAAAUAACACAUAUCAACAUUUUUUUUUCUCUUCUUUUAUUCCAUUAACAAUGUAAGAUGGUCAAAUGUCAUAACUUUAUGUGCUCUCUUGAACCUCAUACAAGUUCUCAUUACUAUUUAGGACAAUUAAAUUCAACAACAAAAAUACACAAUUAGAUUAGUCUAUUUCUAUUUUUUUCAAUACCCAAACUAAACCCAUAUCGAAAAAACCCGAUUUGGGCGAGUAAGAGUUUCAGGAAUGUACCUCAUUGGAUAGAGUUCGGGUCGGUCCGGAUCAGAGAUUGCCCAUUACACACACCGGAUAUCCAUAAACCCGAUAUAAGGUAUGUGUAUAUAUACGGUAUAGAUAUAGUUUUAUACAUUUAUAGACUAGUUUACCUUUUGCAUGCUUGAUUGAAUUACCCAUGCAUCAGUUUCCAACAAGGCUACAAUCCUACUUCUCGUUGUAGUUCUAUACUUUUUAUUUUCAGAUAGUCGGAUUUAUGUUUUCAAAUUCAUUAUCGGAUUACUCACUCUUAAUUCUAAGUAUUACACUUUGUGAUUUUGGAUUGGAUUUGGAUGUCAAGUUUGAAGUGUUUUAUUCUCUUUAUUACUCACAUUUUGGGUUUACGGUUAAUUUUUAUCCAUUCAGACCCGAACCCGAAAGAAUUCAAAAUUUUCAAGUAUUUACCGGUUCUCAGACUUAGUACCCAAUCUAACCCGAAUCCGGGUGUACCUAAUCCGAACCGGAACUGAAUAUAUGCAAUUACCCUAAGAGUAGUAAAUCCAUUACCCAUUUAACCGGAACGGGUUAUCUAUAUGCCCAUUCCUAGAUUUGAUCUUAGAUCUAUACAAGCUUUACAAAUUUUGAGAUUUCAUCGACACUGGAAUUCUAAAUUUCAUGAGAGCUUAAAAAAACUUUGUAGAUCUUCGUAGAUUCUCUAUAUAAAACGAAAAAAUUAAUUCAAUCAAGCAAAACUCACCAAAAUUGAAGCUUUAAAACCGCAACAUGAGAAUAAAGCAAAGAGAACAAAACAAAGCUGAUAUUCGAACGGGACAUAAAUAUCUGAUAUAUUUGUAAAUGUUUUGAGUUUUGUAUCCAAUUAUACCCAAAAUCUAGCAAAAGAUCUGAAAUUUAACCAUAAUCCACCAAAAAAACAUACCAGUAUUUCAGGUAUUCAGGUACUUGUUCAGGUAUGAGAUACAAUCAAGUAUGAAAUACACGAACUGAUUAGUACCCAUUUUUAGGGUAUUUAUAACUUCUAAAAGUCUAAACCUGAUUCGUCCUAAACUUGAAUGACCGAAUCAAACUGAACCAAUUUUGUAUAUUUACUCAAUUAAGUCCUAAAAUCCUCUAUCUGAUUUGAACGCGAUCGACUAGAGUACAUGAAUACAGAAUAUCCAAUCAUAUCCACCAUAAAGGAUACUAAACUCUCCGAUUUGAAUUACCCGAAUCCAAAAAAGCCGAAUAACGUGCAUUUUGUUUGUAUUUGAUUAUAUUAAUUUGCAUAUCUAUGGGCUGUUAAUGCCAAUAAUAUAUUUUGGGUGUUCUUGGGCUUGAACUUUAUUGGGCUAGGAAUGGUUGUAUAUUUAACCCUACUUCUGAUUAGUCUCUUAGUAAAGAAACUAGGGUUUUCGUCGCCGUCAUUUUUCUUGACCUAAAGAGCGAUCAAUUGAGAAGGAGAGAGAGAACAAAACUUCCGUCAUUCCAGCCUUAUAUUUUAACGGGACAUGGGCAUAUUGCAAAUAAUGUAUUUUCUCAUUUUUGGUUACUAGGCUGCGUUUUGAAAAACCCACCUGAACGAUGUUUAGGGUUUCUGUUUUUCGUUAUACUUUUUAUAAGGGCGCCGAUAAAUCGUUUUCUAGGGUUUAUUUGAUUAAAAAGAGAGCCGCCGUAAAACAUUAACGUUGUUUAGGGUUUGUAUUUCAUAUAUUUUUAAAAUGCCGUCGACAAAACCUUUUCCUAGGGUUUCUGUCUUUGAUCAAACCAAAAACAACAAAUUUGAUAAAGAUAGCAAAUCAGGAAUCAGAGAAAUUGGUGUAUGCCGGUGACCAAAGUAUUCUCAACAUACUAGAAUGAUUCAUAAAAAUACGAGGAUUUUUUUUCUUUCUUUCGGGUAUUUCUUUCAUUCCAUACAAUUCAAAGUCAAAGAUGAACACCUAAUUGUGCGUUGAAAAAAAAAGACAUAAUGUGCACAUUUUGAUCUAUAUAUAAUUAAUUAUGUAAAUUUUAUACCUCAUGUUUAUUUUUAAUCAGUUUAUUUAUAUAGACAAAAAAAUGAUUCACAAAUCACAAUGAUGGAUCUUGUUGUUAAAUUAUUUAACUACAAAUUAUAUUAAAGUAAAUUAGGAUAGUCCGAUGUGCGAGUUUUAAAGUUUUAUAAUUAAAUUCUUAAAAUAUACCGAUAAUCUUUUAGUUAGAGAAGAUAAAUAUUUAUAUAUUCUUUAUAACAAAAAAAUAUAUUUUUAUAUUUGUUUUGCUUUAACUUAUUUGCAGCUCUAUAUUUUAAUUUUAUUGUAAGAUUAUAUUACAAUAAACACUACAAGAAAACUGUCAUUUUGCGAGGGAAGAAUUACUCGCUAAUCCCUCGCAAACAGCCAUACGCGAGGGACUUGCGAGGAAAUCAAGUUCCUCGCAAAUGGUAAAAAGUUGCAAUUCCCUCGCAAUUUUUGCGAGGAACUGUUUUCCUCGCAAAACACACGCAACACAGUUCUAGUAUUUCCCUCGCAACUGUUGCGAGGGAUUUGCGAUUCUUUUCUUUCUGCCUAGCAAAUCCAUCACAAACAACUGAUUUCCUGAUAUAUUAAGGCUUGAUUAGUGGUUAAUUAGACUCUAAUUAUCUGGUUAAUUAGUUGUUGAUUAGAGAUUAUUUUUGAUUCUUAAAUAAAGACACAAGAAGAAGAAGAAGCUGAAAUUAUCAUUAUCUAAAAUGUAUUCUACAAUGCCAAUAUUUGAAACCAUGUUCUAAAAAGAUUACAAGGAAAAAAGAGAAAGACAAUGUUCUCAAAAUACUGAUGAUGGAGAGGAUCCUGUUGCAAGGUUAGCUAGGGCAGCAGCAGCAGGUGUCUCCUCAUUGGCUUGCUGUUCUGGAGUUGUAGCUACAGGUGGUUCAUUUGCGCUAACCGGUCUUGUCUGUGUCGAGGAACCUCAUCGAAGAAUGGCAGCUAAAGCUGGAUCUUUCUCAGCAAGAUAGUCAAAGAGGAUAUCAAAGUUGUUGAUCUUCUCAGCCUGAUUUUGAAUGCAAGCUUCAGCGGCAGCCAGCUUCGCAGAAAGUAUAACCGGAUCAUCACUAGGAAGUGUUGGACCACUAUGAACUGAGGAUGCUUCAAACUGCAGAGAUCCAACACCAUAAAUCCUUCCUUUCUUUCUCGGAGCAACCUGCAAAGGUCACAAAAACUCACAAGGACACAACAGAAAACAAGUGAGAAAACAAGUUCAACACAAGACAAAAGAAUUCAAACACAAUAAGCUGUCAAGAUUUCAGACAACACAAUAAGUUGUCAAUAAGAUUUCAGACAACACAAUAAGAUUUCAGACAACACAAUAAGUUGUCAAUAAGAUUUCAGACACAACUAGACAACGCUAACAGUGAUUAUCAAGUAGACAACACAACCACACUUGCAAUAGAAAGCAAUUCAAACACAACACUACACAAAGUAUAAUGAAUAAGCUGUCAAGAUUUCAGACAACACAAUAAGCUGUCAAUAAGAUUUCAGACAACACAAUCAGAUUUCAGACAACACAAUCAGAUUUCAGACACAACUAGACAACGCUAACAGUGAUUAUCAAGUAGACAACGCUAACAGUGAUUAUGAAGUAGACAACAGAAAGAGCACAUAAAAUUUACCUCAGUAAAUAUCUUGUUUUUGGCAUGAACAGAAAGUCCACCUGAUCCAGUGCUCUCCGGAUUGUCCCCUGAACCCAUAUGAGACUCUUCCUCUUCAAUCCUAGAUGUUACUUGCUUGUAGAUCUCCUCUGACUUCCCAUCGAUGAAGCUUCCAUCCGCUUUUCUGUGUGUCUCAUCUAGCAGCUCAAGGAAAUCAGGAGUUUUUUCUCCAGUCUUCUCACACUGAAACACAAAGAGAUAAACAAGAUGUCAGUAUGUAAUUCUAGAUUAAGUAAUGGUAAGGAGAGAAGAAUACUUAUCUUACUCGUUUUCUUGCACGGGCUUUGUAUGAGGUCUGGCCUGAACGGUGUUUAUAGAUGCCUUUGCCAUCCGGAUCAUGAUACCUAGCAUUUCUGCUGUUGUUACUCUUUUUUUUCUGACUUUGGAUCUUGCCAAAACAGUACAAGACCUUUCCACACAUCAGGAUCAAUCCAUUUUGGCUUAGCUUCAUCACCUUUCUCCUUCCAAUUUCCCUUCCACCGUGACACUUGAUCAGUCAUCCUAGACUUUAGCUUUGCUUCAAACUCAACCCUUACUCUUUUGUUAAUUGAACGGUCCCAGUUAUAUACUUGCUACAAAAGAGAAGCUAACAUCAGAAAUGAAACCAUACACAAAACAAGCAUAAACAUCAAAAGAGCACAGAACUUACCGCAAACGUUUCAUACCAUCGAUCGAUUGUAGCCUUUGAUGUUUGUGACCAAUUGGCAUGAGGUUCUUUGAAAUCUCUUUCAAAGAUGAUGCGGACUGUUGCUGCAACUGCAGGGUCAUCGUCAAACCUACAAGAAGACCAACCAGCCCACACAUAAGGAUUUCUAUGUCUUUAAACUUCUAAGACAUCACAAUGCUAAGUACAACCAAGCUGUUCUAUUUGUUGAAACUUCUAAGGCACUACAACCUAAGGCACUACAACCUAAUUCCAUUACGCUCCAAGGCACUACAAAGUUCUAAGGCACUACAACCUAAGCUGUUCUAGGACAAUGAAUUUAACCUUACCAGAGAGUUCCCGGAGGACGCUUUGGGUCUAGCCUUGUCAAGCCAGCACGACCAGGACUAUCAAGAAGCUCCUCCAGUGUGAGAUUGUUGAGACGCUCAGCUUGAGAAUCACAAUCAUUGACAGAAGGCUGAGUGGUUGGCGUUGGAGGCGAUGGUGGAUGGCGUGAACCUUGAACCCCUGAAAUAUUCCCAGCACUGACAGGAGAAUUGACAUGCAACGAGUCUCCCUGCUGUGACCUAUAUCGUGCAUAAGUAUUCUCCGACGACGACAUCUUGCAAAACAAACAAAACCCAGAAGCGAUGAAGAAGAAGUUAGAUCGGAGAGAAGCAGAAGCAGAAGCAGAAGCAGAACAAAUGAUUGACAGAGUUUAGAUCCGUAAACUAGAACAGAUUAGAUCUGGAAAACAAUGUCAGAUCGGAGAUGAAGAAGAAGUUAGAUCGGAGUGAAGCAGUUAGAUCGGAGAAGAAGACGUUACCUUGGAGGCAAAAGAGAUCGAGUCGCGACUUGUGCUGGAGAAGAAGAGUCGCGACGGCUGCUGGAGAAGAAGAGUCGCAACGGCUGCUGGAGAAGAAGAGUCGCGACGACUGCAGGAGAAGACGAGACGCGACGGAGAAGAAGAAGAAGUUAGAUCGGACGGUGGAAGUUGGAAUGGAAAGAAGAAGUUAUAUCGGAGAAGAAGAGGUUACCUUGGAGAAGAAACAGAUCGACUCGCAGCUGAACCUGGAGAAGAAGAGUUGCGGCGGCUGCUGGAGAAUAAGAGGCGGCGACGUAAUCAGAUCGAAGAAGAAGAGAGGCGACGGCGAAGAAAAUAGAUCGGAGAAGAAGAGAAGCCGGCGACGAGGAAAACAGAUCGGAGAAGAAGAGAAUCGAAGAAAAAAAAUUAGGUUUAGUAUAUAUAAGCAUAUAUAUCCUCGCAAAUCCCUCGCAAACCUUGCUAGGAAAUUGCGAGGAACCGUCUUUUAAACCAAUCAAAAUGCAGCUUACAUUGCGAGGGAACUGCGAGAGCGCCUAGCAAAUCCCUCGCAGACCUUGCUAGGAAAUUGCGAGGAAUCGUAUUUUAAACCAAUCAAAAUUCAAUAAUUAUAUUUGAUUCAGUCUCUCCUAUUUCUAGUAAGACCCUCAGCAAAAUAAGAACAUGACUAAAAAUUCUAAAUAUUUUAGGGUUUAGUGUAAAUAUUGCGAGGGAACUGCUACGCGUACUAGCAAACACCUCGCAAUUUCCUCGCAAUGUAUAAUCAAUUUUGAAAAAUACAACAAUCACUAUUCAAAAUCAUUUGGAUUCAUUUUUUUUAAUCAUUAGAACGUUAAUUAUCUACAUUUGAACCUAUUUUAUCAUCAUAUAAUUCGAAUGUGUUUUUUCCCCAAAUACAUCAAUGAUGAUCUUAUGGUUUUCAUUAAGUAUGAAUCAUGAAUGUUUAACAUUUUCAAAAUGAAAUGUUGAUAUUGAAACCAAUACAAUAUUUUUUUGUUCAAACCAUAUAAUCAACUUGAAUGAUUAUAUGGUCACUUAGAUUCAUAUCUAUAAAUGAGAAUCGAAGAUUGCAAUACACUUUUAUGUAUUUUAGGGUUUAGGGUAAAGAUUUGCGACGUAUCUGCUUGGGAUUUGCGACGGAUAAUAUCUUUCUUGCGAAACCAUCGUACUUCCAUCGCAAAUUUGCGAGGAAGUCUUCCCUCGCAAGUUUUGCGACGGAAUUGCUACUCGCGUGCGGUACGUAGCAAGUUUCUCGCAAUAUCCUCGCAAUAAUUGCGAGGAAUGCCUUCCCUCGCAAACCUUCCUCGCAAAUUGACUGUUUUCUUGUAGUGAAACUAGUACAUUUAAAUUACUAAUCUUUAAAACUUUUUGCCAUAUAUAUUCAUCAUUAAUUUAUUGCCUAAUCUCAAAAAAUAGUUUCGCAGUCUCGCCUAAAAUAUGAAUCAACCACUUCUUGAGAAAAUGUUUUACCUGUAGACCACCAGUCAGGUUAUUUUAAUCUAUUUACAAAUCUACUAUCUACGUUACAACUAAAAAACGUAUCUAUGAGUACAUUAAGCCUAUCAGUUUCAAUCCAAUCAUAUUUUACUACUGAAAUAUGUUCUAUGAACACCUACAAAAUGUAUAUAUGAACACAUUAAGCCAAUUAUAUUCUUAUUUUGUUUAUGUCCAACUAUAUGUCUCUUCAUUUACACUUUUGCAUAGUUUCUUCAACCACUAAAUGUUUUGACUCAACAAAUAUUUUGAACAAAAAAAUAUAUCAUAUAGCAAUAAUUGAUGAUGUAUUUACAAGAAAACUAAAUUAAGUAAAAAAACUACUUGAUUAGAAUGCGUUUAUGACCAACCAAUAAACUAAAGGUUGAGAAAUUAAAAGAAAUUAAUUUGACGUAACUAAAAAAAUAAUAUAAAUGAGUCUUAGAUAAUUCAAAGAUAGAAAUAUAAAUGAAAGUAACAAUCUAAAAUACGACCACUAAAUUAAAAGUAAAUAGACAAAGAAAAAUCAUAUAUCGAUCUUACCAUAUACAAAUUACAAAUUUGUUUCAAAUCAACACAUAUUUCUAAUUAAAAAAAAACAAAUUGAAAUAUAUAAUGUAAAAUUUUACAUUAAAUCAUGACACAUGUAGUAGUCUAAUUUUUUUAGUACAAUGAUAUAUGAUAAUUAAGUUUUAUAUAAUUCAAAUACAAAAAAUCAAUACAAAUAAUCUUGAAAACAAAAAUUAAAUUAUAAAUUUUAGGAAGACGAUGAUUUAUAAAUCUUUAAUAAUUCAAUGCAUGCCACGAUAAUGUGAUAACUUUGUAGCUGUGUAUAAGCACACCUAGAGAUGGAGAUAACACCUAGAGAUGGAGAUAGAGAGAGAGAAAGCUUCAGGAGGAGAUGAAGAAGAUGAGAGGAGGUGCAGAUUUGGGGAUGUUUUUUUCUUUUUUUUUCGGUCCAAUUUUUUUUUUUCUGGAUGGAUUGAUCAACUUUACAAAAUCUCUGGCAAAUAUUUGGUAGAUUUUUAUUUUAUUUUCAUUGCUUUAACUUAUGAAUAAAUCUAUAUUUUGAAAAAUAAAAAGCUUGUGUACUUCUCGAAUGUUUAUGGUCUUAAUAUUGCUGCUUGCUUCGUUUUGGUCGCAUGAUUUUAAAUUUACUAGGUUAUAAAUCCACGCGUAAUUUUUUUAUCAAAAUUGAUUCUUAACUCUAUUGAUUUUUAUAAUUUUUAAUAUGGUAUAUUUAAAAUAAAAUGUUUACUUUAUUAGAAAUUUUAAUACUAUAAUCAAUAAUAUAUACUUUUCACCAAAUUAUAUUACGCGUGGGUUCAAAACCAAGUGUUAAUUACUUUGAAAAGCAAAUUUUAUAUAAUAAAAUUUUAAAGUAUGAUAUACUCAUAACUUGAUUUUUUUUUUUUUGCCGGCUACUCAUAACUUGAUUUGGUGCUAUUUAUGACAAUUUCUCUAAUUUAUUCGACUUUUGUUAUUUUGUUCUUUAAAGCAAUGAUAAAUUAUUAUUUGGUCUGGCCCGGAACGGACUGCUUUCAAAUGGACCGGGCCGCCAGCCCACAUACUAACUCAUUUAGAUAUAAGUUUCUUCUAACCUCUCUUUCUCUAAAAAGCUGUCGGCGAGUGGGAGAAGCGCAGAGAGAGCAAACAAAGAGCAAACUUGAAUUAUUUCUCCGUUGGCUUUGUUUGAAAAUAUAUAAAAAAAACAAUUAACGGGCCAUGAGCUUGUUGCAAAUAAUCUAUUUAUUUUUCAUUUUAGGAUUUUUGUUUCUCGACACGAGUUGAGCUGAUUUUGAUAAGCCCACAUGACAUUGUUUUAGAGUUUCUGUUUUUCUUCUUUAUACUUUUUAAAAUGCGGCCAGUGAAUAAUUUUCUAAGGUUUAUGCUUUAAUACAAGUUAAAUAAUUUUUUUGUAAAUAAUUUUUUGUUGGAAUGUCAAAUUUAUUCAACAAAAGAAAAUGAUUACAAAGAGUUUUGAAAGGUAAAAAAUGGAGAAAAUAAACGUGAAAAGUAGAAACAAAAAUGAUGAAAUUGGCGCCACUUACAUCAUUAUAGAAAGUUCAAAAGGCCUAAUUCUGACACAAUAUUAUUAACGGGUCAUGGGCUUAAUGACAAUAAUAAACUUUUCUCACUUUUGAGUUUUAAUAAGCCCACAUUUGCUUUAGGGUUUCUGCGUCUCUAUCUUUAAAUUGCUUCCGACGAUUCAUAAACUAGGGUUUCUGCCUUUAGCCGUCGUGAGAGAGAGAGCAAAUCGAAGAGAGAGCAAAGAGAAAAUAAUAUGUUGUUUGCGUUUGGUACGGUGACUCGAUCUGUGGCUAAUUCAGUGGUGGUUUGCUACGGCUUUCUUUCGACAAUGGUGUUUUCUUUCGACCUAAACUUGAUAGACCGAACCAAACUGAACCAAUUUUUAUAUAUAUUUACUCAAUUAAAUCCUAAACUCCUCUAUUUGAUCUGAACCCGAUCAACCCGAAUACAUAAAUAUCUAAUCUUAUCCAUCUGAAAGGAUACUAAACUCUCUAAUUCGAAUUACCCGAAUCCAGAAAAAGCCGAAUAGCAUGCAUUCUAUUGGUACUUGAUUAUAUUAAUUGGCAUAUAUAUGACCUGUUAUUGCCAAUAAUAUAUUUUGGGUGUUUCCUGGGCUUCAGUUUUAUUGGGCUAGGAAUGGGUGUACUUUUAAACCCACUUCUGAUUAGUCUCUUAGUAAAACCCACUUUUAAACCCACUUCUGACCCACUUCUGACGCCGUCAUUUUUCUUGAGAAGGAGAGAGAGCACCACUUCCGUCAUUCCAGCCCAAUAUUUUUAACGGGCCAUGGGCUUAUUGUAAAUAAUGUAUUUUUCUCAUUUUUGGUUUUCUUUAUGGGCACGAUUUUAGUGGGCUGAAUUUUGAUAAAGGCCCACAUAUGAAAGAUAUUUAGGGUUUUUUCUCUUGAUACCUUUUAAAACGCCGUCGAGAAAUCUCCCUCUAGGGUUUCUUUGAUCAAACCAGAGAGCCGUCAGGGAGAGCAAAACAAAGAUCGGAGAAGAUGAAGACGAUUCUUUCUUCCGAAACGAUGGACAUCCCCGACAGUGUUACCAUCAAGGUUCACGCUAAAGUGAUCGAAGUCGAAGGAC
RNAcentral lists this long non-coding RNA (12462 nucleotides) under Arabidopsis thaliana (thale cress). Its description in RNAcentral is "long non-coding RNA (ATHA_LNC000544)". The record is from RNAcentral. Lineage: Eukaryota; Viridiplantae; Streptophyta; Magnoliopsida; Brassicales; Brassicaceae.